This 462-nucleotide ribosomal RNA is filed under the name bacterium 1911-S4-05-1.2. RNAcentral's name for it is "bacterial SSU rRNA". It matches the Rfam family "Bacterial small subunit ribosomal RNA", at positions 59 to 512 of the family's 1533-position model. The record is from RNAcentral.
CAGUCGAACGGUAGCACAGAGAGCUUGCUCUCGGGUGACGAGUGGCGGACGGGUGAGUAAUGUCUGGGAAACUGCCUGAUGGAGGGGGAUAACUACUGGAAACGGUAGCUAAUACCGCAUAAUGUCGCAAGACCAAAGAGGGGGACCUUCGGGCCUCUUGCCAUCAGAUGUGCCCAGAUGGGAUUAGCUAGUAGGUGGGGUAACGGCUCACCUAGGCGACGAUCCCUAGCUGGUCUGAGAGGAUGACCAGCCACACUGGAACUGAGACACGGUCCAGACUCCUACGGGAGGCAGCAGUGGGGAAUAUUGCACAAUGGGCGCAAGCCUGAUGCAGCCAUGCCGCGUGUAUGAAGAAGGCCUUCGGGUUGUAAAGUACUUUCAGCGGGGAGGAAGGUGUUGUGGUUAAUAACCACAGCAAUUGACGUUACCCGCAGAAGAAGCACCGGCUAACUCCGUGCCAGC